This is a non-coding RNA of Microcebus murinus (gray mouse lemur), 493 nucleotides long. The record is from RefSeq and is a predicted model, not a curated record. NCBI's taxonomy places the organism in Eukaryota, Metazoa, Chordata, Mammalia, Primates, Cheirogaleidae.
ACUGUAUAUAAUUAUUUGGGCUACACUUUUAUAUGACUGGCAAAGCAGUAGGUUUGUUGACAACAGCAUCACAACAAACAUGUGAGCAAUACAUUGUGCUGUGCUAAGAUGACUAUGAUGUCAUUAGGCAAUAGGAAUUUUUCAGCUCCUUUUUAAUCUUAUGGAGUCACCGUGGUAUAUGUGGUCCCUCAUUGAUCAAAAUGUCAUUUUGUAGUGCAUGACUGCAACUUACAUAAAAUGUUCCAACUCCUAAGAACUUUGGCAUGUGUUUUAGAAAAGAAUGUUGGCAGGCUUCCAGUUUAUUAAAACAACAAUCCAAUGCUGAUCUUCUCCCUGUAUACACGAUUGAAGGAUGGAUCAUUUACUCGAACAAAGCUGUUCACUGAGGCAGGUGGAUGUGCUUAUCUAUUCUACUGGAAGACCUACAAUCUGAUGGCAUACAGCUCAACAACAAAAUGGAAAACAACCUAAUUUUAAAAGUGGACAAAGGAGA